AGUGCAAAGAAUAUAUUUGCAUAUCUUUACAUGAUAAAUGAACUUAAUCAUAUUUAUAUAAACAACAGCGUCUAGGCAGCGUCUAGGCAUUUUGUUAUUCUUUGAAACAUACAGUCGGACAAUAUGUAUAGAUAUCUGUUUGCAACGCUCGUGGUGUUUUACCUGGUACGUUCGUUCGCAGACGGUUAUCCUGGGCCGUGUGGACUUUGUGUUGGCGAUCCAUGUGAUGACAGCCUAGAAAAAGGAGAUGAGUGCGCAGACGGCAAAACUUGUCAGGAAUGUUACGUAGGCGUAGUCUGCAGUCUGGUUUGUAGUCAAACUGAUGAUAGCUCCGAAAAAAAAUAACGUAAAGAACCUGAUAAGAGACAUUCUACCAGACUUAUGCUUUUGUUUGAAAUAUAGAAAUAACUUUCAUUUGAUAUACUAACAGUAAAGAGAAAAUAUUUAUUUUGUUAUUUGCAGUGUUUAAAAUAUAAACUUUGUUGAGUUCUGUAAAAAGAUGUUUUCGUAAAUUAGACACACAGUAGAAAUGUGAUGUUAACCCUAAAUGAAUGAAGUUGUCUUCUCUGCAUCAAACGUAUCAACUUUAAUUUCUUUUAUAAUGUUUUAGAUAUUGUAUAAUUGUUCAUUUAUCAUGUUUGUUUAACGAAGUUCGAAAAUUGUGCAAAAGGAAUUACUAGUCCUCUUGUAGUAUACCACCGAUGAAUAAUAAUUGUUUUACCGUCUUCUAGAAUGACCAAUAUCUGACAACCCUGUUGUACAAAGGACAAAUCUUAAUGGUGUAAUUUCAUACUUUUACGCAUGUAAUAAAAUGUUAUGUACCAUUAAUUGAUUUGAAGUUUGUUUUUUUCAAAAUUAUGCGAGUUCAUAAUUUGUAUUCUGAUUUAUUUAACAUCUUGUGUGUCCGUUUUCUGUUUUUACCUGAAAAUGAAACUAAAGUUAUCUAUAGAUAAUUAAAUGGCGUGCAAUUAAAAGCAUAAAACUACACUUAUGUACAGAUUAUCAUUCCCUCUACAUGAGGAAAAGGAUUGAUAUAAAGAUAUAUUCCGAAGACUAUUAUUAAUUAACAUUAAGUUAUGCUAUUUUACCACCGACAGCGAAGUUAUAAGGGAGUAUACUGGCUUCCGGAUGUCCGUCCGUCCGUCCGUCUGUUCAUCCGUACGCACCAACUCUCCUCAUCCCCUUGACACUAAUUAAUGAAACUUUACAAAAGUGAUUAGUAACAACAGUAGUUGUGCAUGGUGCGUGUUAGGUUCUUUCAGAUAUUGUUUGCAGAAUUGCGCGUCUAAUCUCCUAAACCGAUGCACACGAUUUAAUGAAACUUAACACAGUAGUAACCCUAGUUGUGCAUGUUGCAUGUUAGAUCCUUUCAGAAAAAAAAUCUGCAGAGUUAUGGGACUUUGAUUUUUGUUAAUAUGAUAUAUACAAACAGUUUGCAUAUGCAGUCUUGUGCGCGCCUAAUCUCCCGAACCUUUGUAACACAAUGAUAGCUCGCAAGUCAGUUUUUAGUUAAUUAAUCAUUGUGUUUAUUUUAUCUGUUAUUGAUUUUGGUAGAUAAUCCUGAUAAUUCUUACAAAUGAUACGCAUUCUGUUUACAUGCGUAGGUCAUUGUUGGUAUUUACUACUCCAGCAAAUUUCGUAACAUCGGAGUGUUUUAUCCAUUAAGUUUUGGCCUAAUUGACUUUGUUUACUAUUAUUACCGGUCAGAUAUUGAGAAAUUCUCAAAAGAAAUUUAUUUGGUCAGCCUUAAUUACUUUAUUUUUGUUUUCGAUGGAAUUUUCAUUAAUUGGUCAGAAAUGUUAAUUACUUUGUUUACCUGUUCAGCAUAUUGUUGUUGUUUACAAUUUAUACAAAAUGAAUCACCGUUGAAUGUAUUAUCUAUUAGAUUUGACCCUAAUUACUUUGUUUGUUUCGGUAACUGUCAUUUAUUUACGAAAAUACACAAUGGUGAUUGAUUCUA
Mercenaria mercenaria is the source of this 1960-nucleotide long non-coding RNA. RefSeq lists it as uncharacterized. The record is from RefSeq and is a predicted model, not a curated record. NCBI's taxonomy places the organism in Eukaryota, Metazoa, Mollusca, Bivalvia, Venerida, Veneridae. The transcript is spliced from 5 exons.